This is a long non-coding RNA of Lepus europaeus (European hare), 2134 nucleotides long. RefSeq lists it as uncharacterized. NCBI's taxonomy places the organism in Eukaryota, Metazoa, Chordata, Mammalia, Lagomorpha, Leporidae. The record is from RefSeq and is a predicted model, not a curated record. The transcript has 3 exons.
GAAGGGCUCGUCACACCUCCGUGGGCCGGGGCGGCGCGGACUCGCGGAGACGCGGAGGCAAGCGCCAGGCGCUGUGUGCGUGAGGCGCUCUGCCCGCCGGCCGAGGCCCGGGGGCUCCAGCUCAGUGAAGUUCCGAGCACCCGAUUUAUCUCUUUACUUGAAGGCAGAAUGACAUGGAGAGCACACACACAGAAAUUUUCCAUUCUGUGGUUCAAUCCCCAAAAGGCUGCAACAGCCAGGGCUGGAGCCAGGAGGAAGCCGGGAAAUCCAUGUGGGUCUCCCAGAUGGGUGACAGGAACCCGAGUACUUGAGCCGUCUUCUGCUCUCCUCCCAGGUUCCUGCUGUUGCGAAGCCAUCCGUCAUGACCAGCAGAUGUCUCUGCCCCGCUCCUGAAUCUCCAGAGCUGUGAAUUAGACUUCAUAAAGUACCCAGCCUCAGGUGCUCUGUUACAGCCACAGAAAACGGACUAGCAGGCAGCUGUGAUGGUGCAGGGGUUAAGCUGCUGCUUGGGAGACCUGCGCCCAGCUACUCUGCUUUUGAUCCAGCUUCCUGCUAGUGUGCGUCCUGGGAGGCAGCAGAUGAUGGCUCGAGCACUUGCGGCUCUGCCACCCAUCUGUGAGACCCAGAUGGAGUUCCAGGCUCCUGACUUGAGACUGGUCCAGCCCCAGCUGUUGUGGGUGUUUUGGAGAGUGAACCUGAGCAUGGAAGAUCUGUGUUUCUCCCUAAUUAAAAAAGAAAGAAAAAAUACAUUAAAAAUCAAAAUGGACUGACACAGGGACAUACUGCUUACGCUGAAUUAUGUAACGUGUGAGGAUGCUUGUACUGCUUGGUCAGUGUGCGUGUACGUGCAUACCUGGGUGACUACACCAGGCUCAAGACACAGAAGCACCUUCUGUGUCCCAGUAGGCUUCCUUGCGUUGGCUCCUGGUUGUGAGACAUCCCCCAGGUAACUGCUACCCUGACCUCUAUCACCAUUGGCUACUUACUGUACGAAUCCUAGAGGUGUCAAUGCAUUGAAACAUUUGGAUGGAAUCCUUUGUGUCUGGAUCGAGUGGCAGGGCCUAUGUCAGAUUCACCACGUUACUGCAUGUAGCACUACUUAGUUCUUUUUAGUCACUCUAGUGUUCCACCACUAUUCAUCCUGUCACUUGUUAGUGCAGACUUGUGUUAUCUCAGGUUUUUGGCCAGCUUUUAAAAAUAAAGCUGCCACAAACAUUCUUGUGCACGUCUUCGGGUGGACGUGAAGAUGCAUCAAAAAGGUCAUGGAAAAAUGGAAUUUAAAGUUUAUUUUGGUGCAUAAAAAUUUUGAAAUCCAUACCUACUGUUUUUUGGUUUUUUUUCAUAAUUUAUAUUUUCCAUGAACUUUUUGAACAGCCCUUGUAUGUUUGUCGUUCUCUUGGGUAUUUACCUAGAGGUAGAAUUGCUGAGUCGUUAUUCCAGAUAGUCAUGUAUUUAACUGAAGUGCAUAUUCUAUUAGUAUGGAAGAAACCGGGAAGAAACACUGGGGGCUGACCAGGAAUCCUGUGAUGUCCCCUUGUCCACACUAGGGUCAAGACCCAUAGCUCUCCACUGAUGUGUACUGCGCUCCCUCACUCUGCUCUUCCCUCUCCCGGUUGCUCCAGAUGCUGUCUCGCCCCUGGGUCUUUCCUCCUCCUCCUCCCUGCCUCCCAACCUUGCCUCACACACAUCACACUCAUCCUUGGAGCUCAGCACACGUGUUGCCGCCUCCCCGCAGUCUCCCCCACUCCUCCAAGCUGGGACCAGUUUCAUCGUGCUGUCUGCUGCUGUGGCGUGCUGUGCCUUGGCAGGUGCAUACAGCACAUUUGCUUUUAUAAUUAUCUCACAGCGUCCCAGACUUGGUAAUGUCAGGACCUCAGAAGUCCAGAAAGCCAUGCGGGAACUCAAAGUCCCACUCCCUAGAUGCCGGGUUCUGCAUCUCUGGGAUUUCCAGGCCUCCAUGUCUCCUGUCAGUCUCUCUAAUGCACUUCCCUCCCUGGUGUACUAUCUUUGCACUUCUGCGUUUCAGAGCACCUGUCUGGCAAAAUCCCAGCCAAAUCCCAAAUGCCCAUGACGCUGAACAUUACCAGGGAAGUUGGGUCCACUGUAAAUUCACCCCGGCACUGCCCAGAAUGUC